UACGUAGGGUGCGAGCGUUGUCCGGAAUUAUUGGGCGUAAAGAGCUCGUAGGCGGUUUGUCGCGUCGACUGUGAAAACCCGAGGCUUAACCUCGGGCCUGCAGUCGAUACGGGCAGACUAGAGUUCGGUAGGGGAGACUGGAAUUCCUGGUGUAGCGGUGAAAUGCGCAGAUAUCGGGAGGAACACCAGUGGCGAAGGCGGCACUCUGGGCCGGAACUGACGCUGAGGAGCGAAAGCGUGGGUAGCAAACAGG
Molecule: ribosomal RNA, 253 nt
Filed under: uncultured bacterium
Lineage: Bacteria
Description: partial 16S ribosomal RNA
Rfam family: Bacterial small subunit ribosomal RNA
Source: RNAcentral